CAUUAUCUUAUGUUUUUAGUCCUUAUUUAAUGACAAAUCAUGAAGUUAACUUACGUUUGUUGCUUCCAUUUUUGUAAAUGUUGCUUCCAUUUUUGUAAAUGCACAUUCUUAAAAAGCGACCCAGCAACUACAAAAAAAGAAUUACCGUAUUUUUCGGACUAUAAGUCGCAGUUUUCCGGGGGUGCGACAUAUACCUUAUGCGACUUAUGUCUGAAAUGUUUAACACAUUACCGUAAAAUAUCAAAUAAUAUUAUUUAUCUCAUUCGCGGAAGAGACGAAGAAAAGUCAGCAAUCGUCACACACACAUCAACCAAUAAGAAUUCGGCGGGGGAGGGUCAUGGCAAAAGUGCAUUGUGGGUCAUGGAAUGCUAACUGCUAUAUGCUAUAUGCUACUGCCGUAGCUAUUAGAAUGGAUAAUUUCAUCGUUGGGGGUAACUUGCAAAAACUGAGAAGGGCUGAACAAAAAUGGCACCGAAAAGGAAAUCAUGUACUGCAGAUUACACAAUAUCAAAUUAUAUUAUUUAUCUUAUUCGCGGAAGAGACCAAGAAAAUGUCAGCAAUCGUCCCACACACGUCAGCAAUCAUCACAUACACGUCAACCAAUAAGAAUUCGGCGGGGGAGGGUCAUGGCAGAAUUGAUUAGAAGCGACAUCAAGGAAGAAGAUUUCAUCGGAUUUAUCGAUUAGGAGUGACAGAUUGUUUGUUAAAUGUAUAGCAUGUUCUAUAUGUUAUAGUUAUUUGAAUGAAUCUUACCAUAAUAUGUUACGUUAACAUACCGGACACCUUUUCUGUUGGUUAUUUAUGCGUCAUAUAACGUACAGUUAUUCAGCCUGUUGAUCACUAUUAUUUAUUUAAUUUAAAUUGCCUUUCAAAUGUCUAUUCUUAAUGUUGGAUUUUAUCAAAUAAAUGUCCCCCAAAAAUGCGACUUAUACUCCUUCUUUAUUGUGCAUUUUCGGCCGGUGCGACGUAUACUCCAGAGCGACUUAUAAUCCGAAAAGUACUGUAAAAAAAGACAAUAUACACUUCAUUGCGCAUGUACUAUAUCACUAUAUCGAUGAUUAAAUGCUUUAUUAUUCCACAAGCGUUUUCCAGCGGCACAUGCAUGUCUAUGUACAUUACAUAGGCAGUUAAACAUGUAAAACGUUUUCCUUGGCUCGUUAGUACGUGUUGAUUUUAGAAAUGAUGUACACUUCACUGCCCAUGCAAUACAUCACCAUGUUGCUGAACACGUUAUAAUUAUAUUAGUGUUGGGUUUCAGCAGUACAGCUGUGCAUGCGCACUGUAAACACUGAAAAAAAAAAUACGCAUAUUCCAAGGGCUCUGU
This is a long non-coding RNA of Nerophis ophidion (straightnose pipefish), 1324 nucleotides long. RefSeq lists it as uncharacterized. The transcript has 2 exons. The record is from RefSeq and is a predicted model, not a curated record. Lineage: Eukaryota; Metazoa; Chordata; Actinopteri; Syngnathiformes; Syngnathidae.